RNAcentral lists this ribosomal RNA (573 nucleotides) under Triticum aestivum (bread wheat). RNAcentral's name for it is "partial small subunit ribosomal RNA". The record is from RNAcentral. Lineage: Eukaryota; Viridiplantae; Streptophyta; Magnoliopsida; Poales; Poaceae.
AUGGACGGUGGCAGUGGAUUGAAUAUAUUAUAUGCCGAGGCCCUCCAGGGGAUGGGCAUUCCGAUGUCCAAGCUUAGUGAGAGCAACAUGAGAUUCCAUGGUGUCAUCCCAGGAAAGAAAGCUGAUUCACUCAGUCAGAUCACUCUUGAUGUGGUUUUCGGUGAUUCAAAGAACUACCGCAAGGAAAAGUUGACGUUUGAGGUAGUGGAUUUUGACAGUGCCUAUCAUGCCAUUCUGGGAAGACUUGCUUAUGCUAGUUUCAUGGCUCGACCAUGCUACAUGUACCUCAAGUUGAAAAUGCCUGGCCUCGGUGGCGUGACCAUAGUCACUGGAAAUUGGCAGAGAGCAGAAGAUUAUCUCCAUAAAGGUUCAAAGAUCACCGACGAACAGAUGGCAGCAGUAGAGUUUCAAGAAUACCAGAAGAAUGCAGAUCCGAGUGAUUUCUUGCGUGCCAAAAUGCCUGCCACUGAGUUUGCAUUUCAGUCGGACGGCGAAACCAAACCGGUUCACAUUCACCCGACCGAUCCCAAUGCUGCUCCGACUCAUAUCUCAACAACACUCGACAGAAAAUAG